ACUGGCAGGCUAGAGUCUUGUAGAGGGGGGUAGAAUUCCAGGUGUAGCGGUGAAAUGCGUAGAGAUCUGGAGGAAUACCGGUGGCGAAGGCGGCCCCCUGGACAAAGACUGACGCUCAGGUGCGAAAGCGUGGGGAGCAAACAGGAUUAGAUACCCUGGUAGUCCACGCCGUAAACGAUGUCGAUUUGGAGGUUGUGCCCUUGAGGCGUGGCUUCCGGAGCUAACGCGUUAAAUCGACCGCCUGGGGAGUACGGCCGCAAGGUUAAAACUCAAAUGAAUUGACGGGGGCCCGCACAAGCGGUGGAGCAUGUGGUUUAAUUCGAUGCAACGCGAAGAACCUUACCUGGUCUUGACAUCCACAGAACUUUCCAGAGAUGGAUUGGUGCCUUCGGGAACUGUGAGACAGGUGCUGCAUGGCUGUCGUCAGCUCGUGUUGUGAAAUGUUGGGUUAAGUCCCGCAACGAGCGCAACCCUUAUCCUUUGUUGCCAGCGGUCCGGCCGGGAACUCAAAGGAGA
RNAcentral lists this ribosomal RNA (516 nucleotides) under Klebsiella pneumoniae. RNAcentral's name for it is "bacterial SSU rRNA". It matches the Rfam family "Bacterial small subunit ribosomal RNA", at positions 632 to 1148 of the family's 1533-position model. Lineage: Bacteria; Pseudomonadati; Pseudomonadota; Gammaproteobacteria; Enterobacterales; Enterobacteriaceae. The record is from RNAcentral.